AUGAGCCCCCAUCCCUGCCAGUGCCUGGGGGUGAAUCAGGCCCUGAACAGUGGUGCCUCCUCCCCGAAGCCUUCAGGGUUACUCCAGGUCUUCCCAUUGCCUGUGCUGUUCCCGGAGCUGCUGACCGUUGUCCCAGGGGUGCAACUGGGGGAGUACACCCAUCCCCAGAAGAACCCCAAAUCUCUGGCUGGCUGUCUCUUACCCAACUCCCAUCCCCAGCUCCAGCUGAGGGCAAGCGUGCUGCUGGGCUCUCCCGAGGAAAACCCAUGGUGCCGCCCUCAGGCCCCCGGCAGCUCCUCAACCUGGGCCCCAUCUCUGCCCCCAUCUUGGCUCCCCAGGCAUAUUUAAACUUUGCCCCUCCCACCCCCAUGCCUGGCGGAUCCCCUGGCACUGAGGCCCAGCCAGUGGCUCCAGCCAACGCACUUGGCUCCCGCAGCAAGUUAAAUCUAACCUAGCCCAGCUGUCUCUCCUCCGGCUCCCACCUGCCCCUCCCAUUCCCUGCAGGGAUGUGCCCACACCCUGCCCACCCUACACAGGCCCUCAGGAAGGGUGCAGAGGUUCCCUAGGGUCCCCCACUUUCCCACGCUAGGAAAGCCCUUUGCCUAGCAGCCUCUGGGGUGAGUGCCCUGCUUCUGGAGGCACCCCAGCGCCCAGGGUGAGGCCAGCAGAGUGCAGCAGGUUUUCAACAGGUAUUUCGAGAAGGAGCAGGAACCCACUUCCCAUCAGUCAGGGCGCAGCCAGGAAGAGGGAAACUCCAGGGCCAACACUGAAGUGGCCACUGCAGCACCACGCUGGGGCAUGGGGUCGGAGCACAGCGCUCGUGCCACAGGCAUGCCAGGGAAUGUGUACCAGGUGCUCUGUCUUGCAUCCGCGGCUGUCGGUUCUUCUGAGGCAGGGCAGCUAUGGGUCACUUCCGGAG
Molecule: non-coding RNA, 919 nt
Organism: Macaca mulatta (Rhesus monkey)
Lineage: Eukaryota; Metazoa; Chordata; Mammalia; Primates; Cercopithecidae
Source: RefSeq, a predicted model, not a curated record